Molecule: ribosomal RNA, 325 nt
Filed under: uncultured eukaryote
Lineage: Eukaryota
Description: partial 18S ribosomal RNA
Rfam family: Eukaryotic small subunit ribosomal RNA
Source: RNAcentral
CCCUUAGAUGUUCUGGGCCGCACGCGCGCUACACUGAUGCAUUCAACGAGCCUAUCCUUGACCGACAGGUCCGGGUAAUCUUUGAAUCUGCAUCGUGACGGGGAUAGAUUAUUGCAAUUAUUAAUCUUCAACGAGGAAUGCCUAGUAGGCGCAAGUCAUCAGCUUGCGUCGAUUACGUCCCUGCCCUUUGUACGCACCGCCCGUCGCUCCUACCGAUUGGGUGUGCUGGUGAAAUGUUCGGAUCGGCCGUUUGUCGCGGUUUCCGCGUCAUGUGGCUGAGAAGUUCAUUAAACCCUCCCACCUAGAGGAAGGAGAAGUCGUAACA